Molecule: unclassified non-coding RNA, 432 nt
Filed under: fungal sp.
Lineage: Eukaryota; Fungi
Description: partial internal transcribed spacer region
Rfam family: Eukaryotic small subunit ribosomal RNA (bases 1-46)
Source: RNAcentral
AAGUCGUAACAAGGUUUCCGUAGGUGAACCUGCGGAAGGAUCAUUAACACGUAUCCACGUUUAAUAACCCGCGAAUUUCUUAGGAGGUUUUUCAAGAAAAGGCGCUUUAUCUUCGGAUAAAACACCCUGUUCUUUUGAGAUGGGACUAUUGAUUAAACUCCUUUGUUUAACACCUCUAACUAUUUGUGAGCUUCUUUAAAUCACCUUCGUGUGGUUUAUUAGAAACUGUUUCACUUUAGUUCGUUGUGUUUUACACUCUAAUUAUUUGGUGAGAAAUCACUUUAUAACUAGUUGUGUUGAAACCUUCAGGGACAAAUCUUCGGAUGAAUCUCUGUUGGUUACUAAACCCCUUUCUUAUCUAAAAGCCGUCUCUUUGUAGACCGCUUUUAACCGAAUACUGUACAACUCUUAGCAACGGAUAUCUUGGUUCUG